CAAAAUGUCUAAAUUCUUACCCUGAAAUCUGAGCACAGCAUGCAGGUAGUUUGCUGCAAAAUCUUGAGCUGGAAACCAAGGAACUGGGUGCUGAAGCAUCUCUGGGGACUCUGACCUCUCUUGCCACCAUCUGCAAGGCUUUGAACAUAUCCUAAAGUGAAGCUAUGAGGACCGGCAAUGGAGAAGAAGGCAUGUUGUAGGAAAGAUCCUGGAACAUGCAAACCCUUGCUCCGUGCCAGAGAUCUCCGCUAGACUUUGUGCCUUCUCCAGUUCCUUCUUGAGAGCCCAGCACUGCACAUCUCUGAAGUUACGUGAGCACCUAACCAUGACAAUACACACAUAUAAGGAUUUUUUCAGAAGCGCCAAUUCUUCUAAUAGGCUUUAAAUCAGUGGAAGUUAGACAUUGGAAAUGUCACUCACUGUUUAUCUGCAACUAUAAAUAUUUUCAAAUCUGUGGUUAAACCAUUUAUAUUUGUGAUUUAACUACACUGUCUUCUCUAUGAACAUUACUGCAUCAUCACACAUUGUCGAUGCUUGUUUAUUAAUGGGUUUUUUUAUUUUUAAUAAAACCCUCCUAAGUAUGUUUUUUGGGGUGGCAGUUGUUUCUUGUCAGAAGAAGCAACUGCUGGUAAUGAGGGUUAUAUUUAGAUCUUUGCGUUUACUGCAUAAACGAGUGUUUGUCCAUUAACAUUUUCCACAAAUGUAAGCUCUCCCAGUUUAAAACACUUAACUUUGCUUUAACAUUCACUUCCGUCUGCAGGUGAACAGGGCCACCAGAGCCACUAUAGUUCCAUUGACUUUCCACAUGCACCAGGAAGAGAGAGAGUGUCUCGAGCCUUUGUGCAGAGGGCUCCUAGAAUAAUUAAGGUUGGAAGGGAACUCUG
This is a long non-coding RNA of Struthio camelus australis, 884 nucleotides long. RefSeq lists it as uncharacterized. The record is from RefSeq and is a predicted model, not a curated record. NCBI's taxonomy places the organism in Eukaryota, Metazoa, Chordata, Aves, Struthioniformes, Struthionidae.